Elgaria multicarinata webbii is the source of this 2670-nucleotide long non-coding RNA. RefSeq lists it as uncharacterized. NCBI's taxonomy places the organism in Eukaryota, Metazoa, Chordata, Lepidosauria, Squamata, Anguidae. The record is from RefSeq and is a predicted model, not a curated record. The transcript has 3 exons.
UUCCUGAGUCUAAGAGAUAGGCUCACUGCCUGUUCUGGAUGGGGUUGCACUCCCUCUGAAAGAUCAGGUUCAUAGUUUGGGGGUACUACUAGAUCCAUCAUUGUCACUGGAGGUCCAAGUGGCCACGGUGGCUCAGAAUGCCUUUUACCAGUUUGAUAUGGCUUGCCUUCUGGACAGGGAUAUCUUGGCCACAGUAGUACAGGCAUUAGUAACCUCAAGACUGGAUUACUGCAAUGUGAUCUAUGUUGGGCUGCCCUUAAGGCUGCUCCAGAAGCUGGAGCUGGUGCAGAACGCAGCAGAUCGGCUGUUAUCAGGAGCUGCCUCCUGCAUAUAUCUCCUUUGCUGAGGGAAUUGCACUGGCAGCCUAUUGGCUACCGGGCCAGGUUUAAGGUUUUGGUACUGGUGUACAAAGCUCUAAACAACUUGGGACUAGGAUACCUGAGAGGACUAGGACACCUUCUCCCUUACCAACCUGCACAGUCACUGAGGUCUUUGGAGGGCAUACUCCUGGUGGUUCUACAUAAACCUAUGGCCCAACUGGAGUCCACCAGGAGAAAAGCCUUUAGUGUGGUGGCCCCUUCUCUUUGGAACACUCUGCUUCUGGAGGUCAGGCAGGUGCCAACACUAUGCUACUUCCAGCACCUCCUGAAAACAACUAUUUUUGAGGAAGCAUUCCUCAACUGACCUGCCACUGCUUUUUACUAGGGCUGUGAUGCGCUUCUCUUCGGUUCGGAGAAGCAAUAGCAAAGCAGGGGGCUUCACCUCCAUUAUAGGCGGAGGAGAAGCGAGUCAGGGGCUAGCAAAGCCCUUUAACCAAGUUAAAACAAUAUAUAAUUUAAAAGCAGUAAAACUAUUAAAACAGUUAAAACAAUGUGCCUAGUGAAUUCAACCAUCAAAGACUUUGUUAAAAAGCCAUGUUUUCACUUGGUGCUGGAAUAAAAUCAGCGUUGGCGCCAGUCGGGCCUCCAAGGGGAGGGCAAUCCACAGUCGGGGUGCCACAACAGAGAAAGCCCUCUCCCUUGUCACAUCAUAGCAAAUGUGUUGUUCUGGGGGGGAUCUACACUACUGCUUUUAAAGCGCUUUAAAGCACUUUGAAAACAUUUUGAAAACUGUAUAUGCAGUGUGUCCUGGGCCCCAAACAGUUCUCAAAACUGUUAUAAAGCGCUUUAAAGCAGUAGUGUAGAUCCCCCCCCCCCCGAUGGGAUGCGGAGAAGGGCUUCUCCAAUAGAUCUCAAGUCUCAGGCAGGCAUAUAUAAGGAGAGACAAUCCCUUAAGUAUCGAGGUCCCAAGCCAUUUAGGGCUUUAAACGUCAUUAACAACACCUUGAAUUCCGUCCGGAAGCAUAUAGGCAGCCAGUGCAAUUCCUUUAAGACCGGUGUUAUGUGGUCUCUGUAAGAUGUACCCGCCAGCAGUCUAGCUGCUGCCUUUUGCACUAGCUCGCAACUUCCUAGUCGUCUUCAAGGGCAGCCUCAUGUAGAGUGCAUUGCAGUAGUCACAUUGGGAAGUUACCAGUGUAUGCACUACUGUGGCUAGGUUGUCCCUGUCCAGGAAAGUCCGUAUCUGGCGGAUCAGCCAAAGCUGACCCCAAGUACUCUGUGCCAUGGAGUCCACCUGGGCCUCCAGUUACAAAGAUGGAUCUAGGAGUACUCCCAAGCUACACACCUGCUCCUUCAGAGGAAGCGCCACCUCAUCCAGAACAGGUUGCUUACCCAAUUCCCAGACUCGGGAACCAUCAAUCCACAGAGCUUCCAUCUUAUCAGGAUUCAGCUUCAGUUUAUUGGCCCUCAUCCAGCCCAUUACAGCCUCUAUCCCAUUCCAGGCACUGGUCCAGCACCUCCACAGCCCCAGCUUACUUUGAUGACAAGGAGAAAUAGAGCUGAGUAUCAUCAGCAUACUGAUGGCGCCCAACCCCAAAAUGACCUCACCAACACCUUCAUAUAGAUGUUGAACAGCAUGGGGGAUAGAAUAGCUUAAUUGCCAUGGGGUGGAACACGAAUCUCCCAAUGCCAUUCUCUGGAAUCAGCCCUGCAAGUAGGAGUGGAACCACUGUAACACAGUGCCUCCUACUCCCAUCUCACAGAGCUGAUCCAGUAAGAUACCAUGAUCAAUGGUAUCAAACGCCGCUCAAAGAUCCAGGAAGAUCAACAGGGUAGCACUCCCCCUGCCAGGUCGUCAGUCAGAGCCACCAAGGCUGUUUCAGUGCAUUGACCACAUGCAUGAUGUCCCUGGGGCCUGAGUAAAUUCGACAAAGUCUUCUGCGCCAUGGAGGAGGUCACGAUUACAAGUGCUAGCCUUGAAUCUGGCUGCUUCGAUUAUCUUCUUUGGAUACCCUCUGCUUUGAAACCACUGUGUUAGGAUCUGUGACUCCCGAAGAAAGUCCUGAUGUUCCGAGCAAUUGCAUUUUACUCUCAAAAAUUGACUGUAUGGUGAUCUAGGCAUAUGGGUGCUGGUUCUCCAAGUAACUCUGCUUGUAUCCUGUUGUGUAAUUGUUCUGCCACUUGCCUGAAUCUUGAUAAGGCAUGGGCACAAGAUAUUACUGCAGAGAAGAUCUGUGAUAUAUUUUUUCAAAGAAGGCCAAGAAACUGACACUCCUUAGGACCCUGACGAAACAGGGUUGUUGUUGUUGUUUUAAAAAACUAUUAAUUCCUGUCUUGGCUUCUACUUUUUGGG